Long non-coding RNA from Dermochelys coriacea (leatherback sea turtle), 1978 nucleotides. RefSeq lists it as uncharacterized. The transcript is spliced from 3 exons. The record is from RefSeq and is a predicted model, not a curated record. Lineage: Eukaryota; Metazoa; Chordata; Testudines; Dermochelyidae.
GGGGAACAGUGGAGGUUUGAGAACUGCUUUGGGGCCCCAGCCAUAGAGCAGGACUCCACUAUGCUAGAUGCUGUACAAAGACAGAACAAAGAGAUGGUCCCUGCCCUGAUAAGGUUGCAAUCCAAGUAUAAGAACACACAAAAGCCCUCUCUUUACUGGGAAAGCACCAUCUUAAAAGAGGCUCCAGGAACAGCCAAUGACUCAGGAUUUCUUGGUAGCACAACUCUUAUGGAGCCAUGCUGUCAGGGAAUCUGACUGGAGACACAGGAUCUCUACACAAAAAGCCAUGGCCUGCUAUGGAUUCCAGACAUCAAUGUCAAUCCCUGGCUUCUGGGGACAAAACUACUGGCCAUUCUACAACAUUGGUGUGUAAUAUAUCUGUUCCCAGAACAGAAUGAUCCUGCACAAGGGAAUCCUGAUGGAGUUUUUCAUUUCUAGGCCUUCUCCUGCAGCUCUUUCCAUGGGAGGAGGGCCAAUGCCAUUUUACUAAUUUUUCCUGAAUGGAUGGGAAGCCCAAAGGUGACAACAUCAGCUGAUUAAUACAUCAUGUGAUUUUUUUCAACCCUACUUUAUUUAAUAAGGAUAUAUUUAAGAGGAUGAAAGCUAUUCUUAUAAUUAUAAACAAAAAGCUGUUAAAAGAAUGUUAAGGAUGAAAAUGUUAAUGAUGAAAAGUUAAAAUUGGACAGUGCCAGAAUUACAGUAGCCUCUGAAACCUACAUUUCAUCCCCUUGUGUGUACAUAUUGAUAGCCUUGCCCAGCAUCUCCUCGGAGUCUGUGAGAGAGCCACGAAUAGAACCCAACUCCUAUAGGUCCAAGUCCAGUGCCUUACACACAAGAGAACAUUCUCUUUUUCCUUGGAACCCACUACUUCAUUCACUGUGCAAUGAAUGAGGCACUACUCUGGGAGAACAAAUAGUAUGUGAUCAUUUAAUUAGACUGCAUCAUGAUGCUAUGUAUUUGGGGGGCCACACUACCUAUGGGCAGUCAACUUUAAUUGUGAUAUUUCCUAACUGUUGAAGGAUUAAGUUUGCAACUAACAUUCUAUUAACAGUUUUUUGUAUGUAGUUUCUUAAGUUUUUUAAAAAGCAAAUUGAAAAAACAAAGUGCAUCAUGACGCACCACAGUGAUUUCUGCAUGAGUCAGCAGCAGAGUCUGAACUCAGAACCUUUUGACCCACAAAACAGCUAAAAGGGAAACUCAUGGUACCAGUAGGUUCUCGUCUUCUAUGUAGAUUCGCCACUAUAUGGAGCCAAAACACACUUUGCUAGUGACUUGUGCAUGUCUAUUUGUGAGACUGGAGAAGAAUGUUCAGUCUCAAGCUUCCUAAAUUCUGUUACUGGCUCUGGAUUGUGGUCUACUGGCUCAACUGUAGAACUAAGUAUGUAGAUUUGUAAACUUUGUUCUGAAAGGCACAAUACCUAAGUGGAUGAGACUUGGGUCUGCCAUAUUAGAGACCUAUGUUCUAUUCCCAGCUGUCCCUGAAGUCACUUUGUGCAACCUUUCAGUUACUUCAAAUGGGGAGGGAGAAUAAUAGUUGCCCAUCCCUUAAGGUGUAUGAGGCCUUGUUUAAUAAUAAGGGCUGUUAAGAAUACAUUAUAAACAUCAGAAAGUGGAAGCAGAACUCAUGCUCUCCUGGCUUUCAUCCUAGCACUCCUUUGUAUAGGGUAAGGGAUAUUUUUCAGUUGGUGCUUUGCUUGGGUAUCCAUUUAGCGCCCCAAAGAGAGCUGUGAGUCACAGAGCGUGCUCAGACUGUUGGAUUUUUCAGAUAUUUUAACAGGAAGCCUCUAACUUGCUCUGCUGAGAAUGUGCGAAAGGUGAUGCUCAGAGGCCUAUAAUUUGGCCACAUCUGGGUGAAUUUUCAACAGGUCAACAAAAGACACUUCUUUGAUCCCACAACUAUCCCCUGCCAAAUUUUGAGUUCCUGCUCUAAAGCACCAAGGAGCUUUAAAUAAAUGGUUGGAAAUUUAAUAUUAAAAAA